UAGUGGCGAACGGGUGAGUAACACGUGGGCAAUCUGCCCUUCACUCUGGGACAAGCCCUGGAAACGGGGUCUAAUACCGGAUACCAGNUCGNNAGGCAUNUCCCGNACUGGAAAGCUCCGGCGGUGAAGGAUGAGCCCGCGGCCUAUCAGCUUGUUGGUGGGGUAAUGGCCUACCAAGGCGACGACGGGUAGCCGGCCUGAGAGGGCGACCGGCCACACUGGGACUGAGACACGGCCCAGACUCCUACGGGAGGCAGCAGUGGGGAAUAUUGCACAAUGGGCGAAAGCCUGAUGCAGCGACGCCGCGUGAGGGAUGACGGCCUUCGGGUUGUAAACCUCUUUCAGCAGGGAAGAAGCGAGAGUGACGGUACCUGCAGAAGAAGCGCCGGCUAACUACGUGCCAGCAGCCGCGGUAAUACGUAGGGCGCAAGCGUUGUCCGGAAUUAUUGGGCGUAAAGAGCUCGUAGGCGGCUUGUCACGUCGGGUGUGAAAGCCCGGGGCUUAACCCCGGGUCUGCAUCCGAUACGGGCAGGCUAGAGUGUGA
This 544-nucleotide ribosomal RNA is filed under the name Streptomyces sp. 303D10. RNAcentral's name for it is "bacterial SSU rRNA". It matches the Rfam family "Bacterial small subunit ribosomal RNA", at positions 93 to 651 of the family's 1533-position model. Lineage: Bacteria; Bacillati; Actinomycetota; Actinomycetes; Kitasatosporales; Streptomycetaceae. The record is from RNAcentral.